GACGAACGCUGGCGGCGUGCUUAACACAUGCAAGUCGAACGGAAAGGCCCUGCUUUUGUGGGGUGCUCGAGUGGCGAACGGGUGAGUAACACGUGAGUAACCUGCCCUUGACUUUGGGAUAACUUCAGGAAACUGGGGCUAAUACCGGAUAGGAGCUCCUGCUGCAUGGUGGGGGUUGGAAAGUUUCGGCGGUUGGGGAUGGACUCGCGGCUUAUCAGCUUGUUGGUGGGGUAGUCGCUUACCAAGGCUUGGACGGGUAGCCGGCCUGAGAGGGUGACCGGCCACAUUAGGACUGAGAGACGGCCCAGACUGCUACGGGAGGCAGCAGUGGGGAAUAUUGCACAAUGGGCGGAAGCCUGAUGCAGAAACGCUGCGUGCGGGAUGACGGCCUUCGGGUUGAAAACCGCUUUCGCCUGUGACGAAGCGUGAGUGACGGUAAUGGGUAAAGAAGCACCGGCUAACUACGUG
RNAcentral lists this ribosomal RNA (468 nucleotides) under uncultured bacterium. RNAcentral describes it as "partial 16S ribosomal RNA". It matches the Rfam family "Bacterial small subunit ribosomal RNA", at positions 28 to 507 of the family's 1533-position model. The record is from RNAcentral.